Molecule: ribosomal RNA, 507 nt
Filed under: uncultured Desulfobulbus sp.
Lineage: Bacteria; Pseudomonadati; Thermodesulfobacteriota; Desulfobulbia; Desulfobulbales; Desulfobulbaceae
Description: bacterial SSU rRNA
Rfam family: Bacterial small subunit ribosomal RNA
Source: RNAcentral
GCCACGCCCGCUCAGAAACGUUAAAGGAAUUGACGGGGGCCCGCACAAGCGGUGGAGUAUGUGGUUUAAUUCGAUGCAACGCGAAGAACCUUACCUGGUCUUGACAUCCCGGAGACCCUUAGGAAACUAGGGGGUGCUUCCAUCUGGAAGAAUCUGGAGACAGGUGCUGCAUGGCUGUCGUCAGCUCGUGUCGUGAGAUGUUGGGUUAAGUCCCGCAACGAGCGCAACCCUUGCCUUUAGUUGCCAGCAGUUCGGCUGGGCACUCUAAAGGGACUGCCGGUGUUAAACCGGAGGAAGGUGGGGAUGACGUCAAGUCCUCAUGGCCUUUAUGACCAGGGCUACACACGUACUACAAUGGCCGAUACAAAGGGCAGCGACACUGCGAGGUGAAGCCAAUCCCGUAAAAUCGGUCUCAGUCCGGAUUGGAGUCUGCAACUCGACUCCAUGAAGUUGGAAUCGCUAGUAAUCGUGGAUCAGCAUGCCACGGUGAAUACGUUCCCGGGCCUU